Molecule: ribosomal RNA, 395 nt
Filed under: uncultured bacterium
Lineage: Bacteria
Description: bacterial SSU rRNA
Rfam family: Bacterial small subunit ribosomal RNA
Source: RNAcentral
GUGUCAGCAGCCGCGGUAAUACAGAGGUCCCGAGCGUUGUUCGGAUUCACUGGGCGUAAAGGGUGCGUAGGUGGUGGCGUAAGUCGGAUGUGAAAUCUCGGAGCUCAACUCCGAAAAGGCAUUGGAAACUGCGUUACUUGAGGGUUGGAGGGGGGACUGGAAUUCUCGGUGUAGCAGUGAAAUGCGUAGAUAUCGAGAGGAACACCAGUGGCGAAGGCGAGUCCCUGGACAACACCUGACACUGAGGCACGAAAGCUAGGGGAGCAAACAGGAUUAGAUACCCUGGUAGUCCUAGCCGUAAACGGUGCACGUUUGCUGUAAAAGGAAUCGACCCCUUUUGUGGCGUAGCUAACGCGUUAAACGUGCCGCCUGGGAAGUACGGUCGCAAGAUUAAA